Molecule: ribosomal RNA, 137 nt
Organism: Chrysemys picta bellii (western painted turtle)
Lineage: Eukaryota; Metazoa; Chordata; Testudines; Emydidae
Source: Ensembl
CUGUGUCAUUACCAUGCAAAAUGCUUCAUGAGCAAUUCAUAGUACCUCAAGAUCUGAUCUUUUCAGAAGCUAAGCUGCAUUAGAUCUGAUCAAUAUUUAGAUGGGAGACCUCCAAAGAAAACCCAGGGUUGCGGAGA